GACUCUGGCCGAGCGAUCGCUUUUGGGAGCUCCUCUUUUGGAGAACCUUAGGGAGGAAAGUCCGGACACUCGGGGACAAUUGGACCGAGUAACGCUCGGGCUUUUUUGGGGAGAGAUCUCUAGAAGGGACGGAAAGUGCAACAGAAAGUAUACCGCCCUCCACGACUUUUUUUUACGAAAAAAAGUGGUGGGAGGUAAGGGUGAAAUGGUGGAGUAAGAGCCCACCUCUUGUGUUUGUAAAAAUUCAGGUAAGGCAAACCCUCCAAUGUGCAAUCUCAAGUAAACAACCGUUAUGAGCCUGUCCCGCCAGGUUGUGGGUAGAGAGCAUAGAUAAAUGGUCGCAUAGAACAGAAUCCGGCUUACGGGCCAGAGUCAUUU
Molecule: RNase P RNA, 378 nt
Filed under: Leptospira sp.
Lineage: Bacteria; Pseudomonadati; Spirochaetota; Leptospiria; Leptospirales; Leptospiraceae
Description: RNase P RNA component class A
Rfam family: Bacterial RNase P class A
About the family: Ribonuclease P (RNase P) is a ubiquitous endoribonuclease, found in archaea, bacteria and eukarya as well as chloroplasts and mitochondria.
Source: RNAcentral